UGGGGAAUAUUGGACAAUGGGGGCAACCCUGAUCCAGCCAUGCCGCGUGAGUGAUGAAGGCCUUAGGGUUGUAAAGCUCUUUCGCCGGUGAAGAUAAUGACGGUAACCGGUAAAGAAGCCCCGGCUAACUUCGUGCCAGCAGCCGCGGUAAUACGAAGGGGGCUAGCGUUGUUCGGAUUUACUGGGCGUAAAGCGCACGUAGGCGGAUCGUUAAGUGAGGGGUGAAAUCCCAGGGCUCAACCCUGGAACUGCCUUUCAUACUGGCGAUCUGGAGUUCGAGAGAGGUGAGUGGAAUUCCGAGUGUAGAGGUGAAAUUCGUAGAUAUUCGGAGGAACACCAGUGGCGAAGGCGGCUCACUGGCUCGAUACUGACGCUGAGGUGCGAAAGCGUGGGGAGCAAACAGGAUUAGAUACCCGCGUAGUCC
Molecule: ribosomal RNA, 424 nt
Filed under: uncultured prokaryote
Description: bacterial SSU rRNA
Rfam family: Bacterial small subunit ribosomal RNA
Source: RNAcentral